AUCUAGCUGACGAGUCGCAAAUAGGACGAAACACGCAUUCCGGAU
This 45-nucleotide non-coding RNA is filed under the name Schistosoma curassoni. Lineage: Eukaryota; Metazoa; Platyhelminthes; Trematoda; Strigeidida; Schistosomatidae. The record is from RNAcentral.